Macrobrachium nipponense is the source of this 4890-nucleotide long non-coding RNA. RefSeq lists it as uncharacterized. Lineage: Eukaryota; Metazoa; Arthropoda; Malacostraca; Decapoda; Palaemonidae. The record is from RefSeq and is a predicted model, not a curated record. The transcript has 2 exons.
UAUUAUUAUUUAUUGGUAUCGUUAUUUAUCAAUAUUAUUAUUUAAGUAUUAUUAUUUACUAGUAUUAUUAUUUAUCAAUAUUAUUAUUUAUUAGUAUUAUUAUUUAUCAAUAUUAUUAUUUAUUAGUAUUAUUAUUUAUUAGUAUUAUUAUUUAUUAUUAUACUAUGACUCUCUCAGCAAAAGCGCACAAAAUAUUCCCGAAUAGCGUAUGGUCAGGAAUAACUUUCCCUGAAAUGAAUAACUUUUCUUAAAACCUUCCUCAGCAAGGAUAAAAAAUAAUCAAUUAAUUUACUGUAUCGGCCGUAACGUAAAAGAGCCCAAUUUGUUUCGGAGUACUUCCAAACAGUAAACAAUCCCGCGUGUUUAUGAGCCAAAAAUAACUACCAGUGACGUAUUUUCAAAAUGGCUGCGGUGAGAAAUCUCUCCCCUAUGCAGAACCUGGCAAAACGCAGAAAAAAACCGCAUAACAUUGUCCUGCAAUCGAGAUUGUUAUAUUCCCAUCAGAAGUUACAUUCCCCUUACAUUGAUUCCACAAAAAUAAUUAACAUUUGGGGACGUUUUCGCCCGUUUUCUCUCAUUUUCGCCUCGGUUUCGCCCGUUUUCGCCCGGUUUCUCCCGUUUUCGCCCGGGUUCUCAUUUCCGUACUACCCGAGUUUAACUUACCCUGUCGUAAAAUGGCAAAUCAUGUCGGCCAAGAGAAAUUUAACGCCACUUCAGCUUACCACGGAUCGCCCCUCCAUUAUUAUCACAAUUUUAUGCCUCAUUUGCACAUUUAUCAAACUGCAUGAAGUUUGUUAUUGCAAGAAUUGAUUUUAAGGCACUGAAUAACUGCAGGCCUAGGCCAGUCUAAGGACAUCGUCGGCAAAAAGCGAAAGCACGAAGCCCAAAUGGACUUUUGUGUACCUCUGGCAGUCAUUCCCGUUUAUAAUUGUCUAAAUAAUUACUCUAUAUCUAUGUAUUAUACACUACCUAAAUUCAUGUUUGGAUCUAAAUACACCAGUUAACCGAACACUGUCCUUUUCAUGCAUUGUUUACAUUGCCAAAUGCAAUGAGGUACUGGCGAUCUUUAACAAGUAAAAAAGUAGUUUGUGUUGGAUUAAACGGCCUUAUGGCAUCACUAAAUGGCCCUUGCACAAAGGCUAGUAAUUAAUAGGCAUAUUAUGGACAAACGAACACUUCGUCACACCGAGACAAAUUUUAGCGGGAACAACCGUUUUAUGAAUUUAAAAGACCAUUCCCAUAUUCGUAACGGUAUAGGAAAGACUUCUAAUGGGUAUUUGCACGACCGAAGUUCAGCUGCUAUUCAAUUUUAAAAGUGUUUAAACUACACAAGCCGAAAAGAUUAUGUUAGGUCAGUGGUGAUAUUUCGUUUUGUUUCAUUAGACAACUACCCUGACUGAAGUAGCUAAUAUGUUAAUCAUCAUAACCAAUGCCAUAACACUGUUUGACUAAUAUCUUUACUACAGCUUACGCAGUGCAAGAACUUUGAACGUUAUCUCUUCGUAUAUUGUUGAUGCUGAUCCUUCAGAGCUUUUCUGGAAAAGAAAAGAUAAGCUUCAGAGCUUUUCUAAACCACCAAAAGCCUUUGAAUGUACCAAAACCGAAUUCUUUUUCCCUUGGCUUGAGUUCUGAGAUUUUACAUUUAAUAACUUAUAAGUGCACCAUCACCAGAAAUUGGUCAACACACUUUGAGGGGAGAUUGACAGCGACAGGGGGAACAGGGAAAUUAUCUUUGUCAGUUUUGCUUUCCAGAAUAGUUUGAAGACGAAGACUGUUCUUUUUAGAAAAGCAACAAAUUUACAACUUACGUAUAAACCUAGAGAGGUAGCGAGAAAAAUAUAGAAUUAAUGCACCGGACCGAAAACUCGUGUUUUUUCAGUUCCUAUAAUAAAUCAUAUAUGUGUAUUCAUACCUAUACUGCACACAUCAUAUUGAUAUACAUAACCAUUACAUUAAUUUGUAAAGGUUUAGGUCUAAUCAGUUAAAAAUAAAAGUGUUAUAUAUUACUUAAAAGAGACAAUGAAACAUCCAGGCACACGUUGAAUGCAUUAUCUUGCGUAUUAACACAUCGCAUUACUUCCUCAUUCUUCAGUAAAAUAUUACCAGUCAUGAGAAGAUUAUACUACUGCAAGGGUAGACUUAACAUUUCCAAAAAGGCAAGUCGGGGCCAGUUGCAUAAUUCAAUGCCAGAACACGGUUUAGCUGUCGUCAAGAGGUAAAGAAGCAAUAAUUUGGGUCUACCUUCAUUAGUAAACUAGGCAUAUUUAUCAAGAUAUUUGGAAAAAGUUAAAGAUGUCAUUUCUAAUUAGUGACUAUUUACGGUAGUCCGGUACACGUCCUUCGUUACUAUACCAUUGGUUUGAUUCAGGUGUAGGAAGCGUUUCUAAAGGAAAUCCAAGCUGUUACAGCUAUUACCAGACCAAUACCUUCGAUGGGAAUCAUUAAUUCAGGCAUAAGAUAAAGCAGUUUAUUCUCAGUGAGAAGAAUCCAUUGAAUAUAUGCCUCAUUUAAACGCAACAAAUAAUUCUUUGAUUUCAGGAAUAAAGGGAAAAUGGCAAUCCGAAGCCUUUAAAGCUUUUCUGUUAAAGAAACUACUGAGAUGGCUUUAUCUGUCUGCCCGCACUUUUUCUGUCCACCCUCAGAUCUUAAUAACUACUGAGGCUAGAGGGCUGCAAAUUUGUAUGUUGAUCAUCCACCCUCCGAGCAUCAAGCAUACUAAAUUGCAGCCAUAUAGCCUCAGAAGUUUUUAUCUAAUUAAAAGAUAAAAUUAGCCAUGAUUGUGCAACUGGCAACGCUAUUGGACAGGCCACCACCGGACCGUGACUGAAAUUUCAUGGACCGCGCCCUAUACAGCAUUAUACGCUGUACAGUUAACUCGAUUUCCCCGAAGAAACUUCUACACGUGAGACUGAUGCUGAUAAGUUGAUAAAUUGGAAGCUGAGUUUCUUUAAAAAAAAAUUUGUUAUACUAUUUUAUCAGUUUUUAUAUAUACAUUUAUACUUAGACGUAGGAUGUGAACAUUUAUAAGUACGAAAAACUUUUAUUAUGGUUUUCUUUUAACCCAAAUGAUUUAUUUACAGCAACCAUGACCAUAAUCGUUGCGACGCCAGUAGAUCAAUCGAUCAAUUAGGCACGAAAACCAGAGAGUAAUUUCAAUCCUAGUUCAUAUAAUUCAGAUUUACAAAGCAUUGUGCUCUUCAGCGAAUGUUCAACUAAAUCUAGAGCAAUAAUAAUAAUGGAAUCCCUUGAUUAGUCUAACAACAUUUUAAUUAACUCUACAUCAGUUCUGAUUUGAGACUGGGUUAUCAAGUACUUGUAAACUUAUUGAUACUGGUUUGAAUUCUAAUACAUCUUCAUCCGAAUAUAUGAACGAAAAUAUUCUGAUCACAGGUUCCAUCUCGGUUCCCUGAUAUGACCAGUUGCUCACUUGGAUCUCUGAAGAUGGUUUCAGCGGUAGCUUGUGCCGCUCACUGCAGUCGCCUGGCUGAGUGUUUGCUCCUCUGCUACGCUGAGAGCAACUGUUCCCUGUAUAGUGCCAGAGUUGCUUCUUACUAUGGUGGCGAAGGGACAACUUUACCUGGAAGAUGUUACUCUUCGUGGGCUGUUCCUAAUGACCUCAUGGCAGCUGCUUCUAUUCUCAGUUUAAGUUCUUCCUCCUCAGGACUUUUAGGAAGUUACGUCCUCAAAGGAUUCAACUGUUAUUACCCUUCGGUUUUCGUGUACACCUCAGAAACGGCACAAUCUUGCUUCUUGGAAGUGUCUAUUGGUGGUCAAAAAAGAAUAAAAGCGGUGAAGAUCCACACAAGAAACCAUAUCUUGUUAUCCACCGACGUUAAAAUACAAAUCGGAAACUCUUCAACUCUAAGUGCCGAUUCGAAAAAGAGAUUGACUGGGCAAAGAACGAGUACCAAGACUGGAGAAGUGGUUUUCUUCAGUCUGGAAGAAGCAGUCACAGUUUUAUGCAGACCCCUUGGCUUUCUGCUGUGUUGUCAUAUACCCUGCCUAAAAACUGAGAUAUCUGCUUAACUAACACAUUCCCAUUACAAUGAAAAUCGUUCACUUAGGUAGACAUGAAAUUACUGUAUGAUUUGCGACAUCUUUGAAAACUGAUAGGUAUGCUUAGACGCCCUCAUUUUAUCCCAUUAUUUCAAAUGCUUAAUAAUGUGAAAAGAAUAGUAUGUAUUGCUCUGAACUGAUAAGGCGGUUGCUCUUUAUCUUGCAUCUCACUAUUCCAGUGAUUCUCAACUUUUUUCACUCCUUUUUUUUUCAUGAAUUCUCAACAUUUGUGUGGCUCCCCUUCAUUUUUCUUCCAAAUCCCACCCCGCCAAAAAAGGUAAAAAAUAAAUAAAUAAAUAAAUAAAUAAAUAAAUAAAAUGUUGAUGAAGAGAACACCCUUGCUUUGUUACGAAGUUUACAGACAUAGUUAUCUUAUAUUUGAUAGAUUUCCGUGAUAUGCUUAACUUACAUCACUAGACUACAAAAGACUAGCAGACAAAAUUUUAUUGUCAACUUAAUCAAUUAAAGAAGAACAUUUUCCUUACCAGGACAGUGAUGCAAGUUUUUGUUUUUUUAUUCAGAUUCCUAACAUUAUUUAGAAAUGUAUAAUUUGCAACAGCCCACCAUGGACCCCAGGUUGAGAACCACUGCCCUAUUCAGAUAUGCUAUCAUUAAUGAUACACAAGAUACCAUGAUAACGACCUGAUAAUUUAUAGAAAUAGUAAAUGUGAUGGUAAUGAGCUUAUAAAGUUUGUCAGUGUAUAUUACCACAUCGUUAAAUGAUUUCAAAACUAUGAUAGCUAUUAUUGUAAGAUUAUUUGUGAAUCAAAUAGAACUAAAAUCUGUACAAUGAACUGCUUGGUAGACUGACCCAAUAAAUUCUGCUCAUCUGCA